UACGUAGGGGGCAAGCGUUGUCCGGAUUUACUGGGCGUAAAGGGCGCGUAGGCGGUCGUGACAAGUCACUCGUGAAAUCUCCGGGCUUAACUCGGAACGGUCAAGUGAUACUGUCGGACUAGAGUACAGAAGGGGCAACUGGAAUUCUCGGUGUAGCGGUGAAAUGCGUAGAUAUCGAGAGGAACACCUGCGGCGAAGGCGGGUUGCUGGGCUGAUACUGACGCUGAGGCGCGAAAGCCAGGGGAGCGAACGGG
RNAcentral lists this ribosomal RNA (254 nucleotides) under uncultured bacterium. Its description in RNAcentral is "partial 16S ribosomal RNA". It matches the Rfam family "Bacterial small subunit ribosomal RNA", at positions 524 to 776 of the family's 1533-position model. The record is from RNAcentral.